This 2903-nucleotide ribosomal RNA is filed under the name Escherichia coli. Its description in RNAcentral is "23S ribosomal RNA". It matches the Rfam family "Bacterial large subunit ribosomal RNA". The record is from RNAcentral. Lineage: Bacteria; Pseudomonadati; Pseudomonadota; Gammaproteobacteria; Enterobacterales; Enterobacteriaceae.
GGUUAAGCGACUAAGCGUACACGGUGGAUGCCCUGGCAGUCAGAGGCGAUGAAGGACGUGCUAAUCUGCGAUAAGCGUCGGUAAGGUGAUAUGAACCGUUAUAACCGGCGAUUUCCGAAUGGGGAAACCCAGUGUGUUUCGACACACUAUCAUUAACUGAAUCCAUAGGUUAAUGAGGCGAACCGGGGGAACUGAAACAUCUAAGUACCCCGAGGAAAAGAAAUCAACCGAGAUUCCCCCAGUAGCGGCGAGCGAACGGGGAGCAGCCCAGAGCCUGAAUCAGUGUGUGUGUUAGUGGAAGCGUCUGGAAAGGCGCGCGAUACAGGGUGACAGCCCCGUACACAAAAAUGCACAUGCUGUGAGCUCGAUGAGUAGGGCGGGACACGUGGUAUCCUGUCUGAAUAUGGGGGGACCAUCCUCCAAGGCUAAAUACUCCUGACUGACCGAUAGUGAACCAGUACCGUGAGGGAAAGGCGAAAAGAACCCCGGCGAGGGGAGUGAAAAAGAACCUGAAACCGUGUACGUACAAGCAGUGGGAGCACGCUUAGGCGUGUGACUGCGUACCUUUUGUAUAAUGGGUCAGCGACUUAUAUUCUGUAGCAAGGUUAACCGAAUAGGGGAGCCGAAGGGAAACCGAGUCUUAACUGGGCGUUAAGUUGCAGGGUAUAGACCCGAAACCCGGUGAUCUAGCCAUGGGCAGGUUGAAGGUUGGGUAACACUAACUGGAGGACCGAACCGACUAAUGUUGAAAAAUUAGCGGAUGACUUGUGGCUGGGGGUGAAAGGCCAAUCAAACCGGGAGAUAGCUGGUUCUCCCCGAAAGCUAUUUAGGUAGCGCCUCGUGAAUUCAUCUCCGGGGGUAGAGCACUGUUUCGGCAAGGGGGUCAUCCCGACUUACCAACCCGAUGCAAACUGCGAAUACCGGAGAAUGUUAUCACGGGAGACACACGGCGGGUGCUAACGUCCGUCGUGAAGAGGGAAACAACCCAGACCGCCAGCUAAGGUCCCAAAGUCAUGGUUAAGUGGGAAACGAUGUGGGAAGGCCCAGACAGCCAGGAUGUUGGCUUAGAAGCAGCCAUCAUUUAAAGAAAGCGUAAUAGCUCACUGGUCGAGUCGGCCUGCGCGGAAGAUGUAACGGGGCUAAACCAUGCACCGAAGCUGCGGCAGCGACACUAUGUGUUGUUGGGUAGGGGAGCGUUCUGUAAGCCUGUGAAGGUGUACUGUGAGGUAUGCUGGAGGUAUCAGAAGUGCGAAUGCUGACAUAAGUAACGAUAAAGCGGGUGAAAAGCCCGCUCGCCGGAAGACCAAGGGUUCCUGUCCAACGUUAAUCGGGGCAGGGUGAGUCGACCCCUAAGGCGAGGCCGAAAGGCGUAGUCGAUGGGAAACAGGUUAAUAUUCCUGUACUUGGUGUUACUGCGAAGGGGGGACGGAGAAGGCUAUGUUGGCCGGGCGACGGUUGUCCCGGUUUAAGCGUGUAGGCUGGUUUUCCAGGCAAAUCCGGAAAAUCAAGGCUGAGGCGUGAUGACGAGGCACUACGGUGCUGAAGCAACAAAUGCCCUGCUUCCAGGAAAAGCCUCUAAGCAUCAGGUAACAUCAAAUCGUACCCCAAACCGACACAGGUGGUCAGGUAGAGAAUACCAAGGCGCUUGAGAGAACUCGGGUGAAGGAACUAGGCAAAAUGGUGCCGUAACUUCGGGAGAAGGCACGCUGAUAUGUAGGUGAAGUCCCUUGCGGAUGGAGCUGAAAUCAGUCGAAGAUACCAGCUGGCUGCAACUGUUUAUUAAAAACACAGCACUGUGCAAACACGAAAGUGGACGUAUACGGUGUGACGCCUGCCCGGUGCCGGAAGGUUAAUUGAUGGGGUUAGCGCAAGCGAAGCUCUUGAUCGAAGCCCCGGUAAACGGCGGCCGUAACUAUAACGGUCCUAAGGUAGCGAAAUUCCUUGUCGGGUAAGUUCCGACCUGCACGAAUGGCGUAAUGAUGGCCAGGCUGUCUCCACCCGAGACUCAGUGAAAUUGAACUCGCUGUGAAGAUGCAGUGUACCCGCGGCAAGACGGAAAGACCCCGUGAACCUUUACUAUAGCUUGACACUGAACAUUGAGCCUUGAUGUGUAGGAUAGGUGGGAGGCUUUGAAGUGUGGACGCCAGUCUGCAUGGAGCCGACCUUGAAAUACCACCCUUUAAUGUUUGAUGUUCUAACGUGGACCCGUGAUCCGGGUUGCGGACAGUGUCUGGUGGGUAGUUUGACUGGGGCGGUCUCCUCCUAAAGAGUAACGGAGGAGCACGAAGGUUGGCUAAUCCUGGUCGGACAUCAGGAGGUUAGUGCAAUGGCAUAAGCCAGCUUGACUGCGAGCGUGACGGCGCGAGCAGGUGCGAAAGCAGGUCAUAGUGAUCCGGUGGUUCUGAAUGGAAGGGCCAUCGCUCAACGGAUAAAAGGUACUCCGGGGAUAACAGGCUGAUACCGCCCAAGAGUUCAUAUCGACGGCGGUGUUUGGCACCUCGAUGUCGGCUCAUCACAUCCUGGGGCUGAAGUAGGUCCCAAGGGUAUGGCUGUUCGCCAUUUAAAGUGGUACGCGAGCUGGGUUUAGAACGUCGUGAGACAGUUCGGUCCCUAUCUGCCGUGGGCGCUGGAGAACUGAGGGGGGCUGCUCCUAGUACGAGAGGACCGGAGUGGACGCAUCACUGGUGUUCGGGUUGUCAUGCCAAUGGCACUGCCCGGUAGCUAAAUGCGGAAGAGAUAAGUGCUGAAAGCAUCUAAGCACGAAACUUGCCCCGAGAUGAGUUCUCCCUGACUCCUUGAGAGUCCUGAAGGAACGUUGAAGACGACGACGUUGAUAGGCCGGGUGUGUAAGCGCAGCGAUGCGUUGAGCUAACCGGUACUAAUGAACCGUGAGGCUUAACCUU